RNAcentral lists this ribosomal RNA (160 nucleotides) under Glomus sp. Its description in RNAcentral is "partial small subunit ribosomal RNA". It matches the Rfam family "Eukaryotic small subunit ribosomal RNA", at positions 1642 to 1799 of the family's 1831-position model. Lineage: Eukaryota; Fungi; Glomeromycota; Glomeromycetes; Glomerales; Glomeraceae. The record is from RNAcentral.
UGAUUACGUCCCUGCCCUUUGUACACACCGCCCGUCGCUACUACCGAUUGAAUGGCUUAGUGAGGCCCUCGGAUCGAUGUUCGGAGACUGGCAACAGUUUCCGUUCGUUGAGAAGUUGGUCAAACUUGGUCAUUUAGAGGAAGUAAAAGUCGUAACAAGG